ACGGCGAAAUCGGGAAGAUACUGGCUAGUCUAUGAGGGAAGAAUACCCUUGGGGAAAUGGCCAGAGCCUGCGUAUAUUCCAGCUGGAGCAUCCUGGCGCCGCU
Choloepus hoffmanni (Hoffmann's two-fingered sloth) is the source of this 103-nucleotide non-coding RNA. The record is from Rfam. Lineage: Eukaryota; Metazoa; Chordata; Mammalia; Pilosa; Megalonychidae.